GUACUACAGGCUAAAAAUGAAGAGGUUUUGACAGUGGCACACAGAGAAAAGGAUAUUUAAAAUUGAUUGGCAAAAUGAUUUCUUUUUUUUUUACAAAAAGCCUUGGAAAAUAAAACUGCAUUAGUUAUGCAUAAACAGAGUAAUGUUUGCUUAUUUAUUUUUUAAAUAUUAGAAAAUUAUAAAUUAGGGGUUAUCAGAGCAACUUUAAUUUUAAUAUAACACAACAACAUUUACUUUUGGCCCACGGCCCUCAGUCAGGUUUGGCCCUUGUAAGGAAAAUGUUCGGGCCCCAAUCAAUGUGUAGUCUAUCUGAGGAGGUAACUUUUAGCAUAUGAUAAUGCAUGCUUGUACAAAGUCAGUCCACAUAUUAUAAUGUUUGUCUUCAAUCAAUCAAUUUAAAUAAAAGAGAUGGGGACUUUAUAAUAUAAUAAGGGUCCAUAUAUCACAUUGAUAAAAGACAUACAUGUAUUUUUACUUUAACAUGAACUAAUGCUGAGUUAAGGCAUAUACUAUCAUAAACUAAUGAAGAGUCAUCAUUCACAUGACAUGUUUUUCAUUGUUAGUUAAUGCAUUCAUUUACAAUAAAUUAAUUUGAGUUCAUGUUGUAAUUAAGUAAGUUCAGUAUGUUACAUGUCUUAACUCAGCAUUAGUUUAUAUUUACUUAUAUUUAAGUAAGAAUUCAUUUAGGUAUACGUUCAAUGUUUCCAAUGAUGAGCAGUUAAUCAACUAAACCCAGAGAUAAUUCCUGAGGCAUGUUUAAAGAGUUCGUAUUUCAUCAAGUAAGUGCUGAUUCACAAAGAUUUUAUAUUUAAGAAAAUCUGAGCAUCAUUCAAAAUAACUGUUAACAUGUUUGUCAACUAAACAUGUUUUGUCAACGUUAUAAACUUUAUAGAUAUAUUUUUUAUUUUUUAUUAAUGACCAAGUAUAAAGAACAAUGCAUAGUGUGAAAACGCGGAUUAUAUAAAAGUAUAUAAUAAAGUGCGAGCAGACAGCAGAGGAUCAAUCAAACUUGGGCUGGAAUGAUUGUAGUGCAUCCAAUCUUGGAAAUCGUAGUUUACAUCUACAGCAGCAUAUGCUACAGCAGUGACAACGCCAAAGAAAAGGACUACAUUUCCCAGAAUGCACCUGCACCCACUCAUCUGCCCCACCCUUCAGGUGCGACUGCUUCACCUAUGGGCUCGACGGGAAAAUUCAAAAUCGCGAACCGUUACAGCCUGGACUACUCUUUGUUUGCUUGCACAUCAACAGUUAAGAGGUCAUGUACACUGUGGUCAACUUUGUGGACGCUGAAGAGGUUUCUGGGUAAAGAUGAUAGAAAUAUAAUGAAGUAACAGUGGAAGCUAAAACAUCAGACUGAUCUAGACACUGAAGAAAUUGAUGUCACUGCAAUCUGGCCAAAAUGAUACAACUAUAUUGAAGUAGCCUACUGUAAUGAAGCUGCAGAACGUCACAGAGACUCUGAGGACAUCAACACAGAAAAUCUAGGCUCCAAAGAGAUGUCUGUCCAGAUGAGGGUGCAUCAACGUUACCUUUGCUGACAAGUAUAUGCUUUACAAUGUAAAACCUAACAGUUAACUUAACUCAAACCAUUUAAGGAAAUCUGUUGCCUUAAACCAUUAAGUUUUAAAAAGAUACAUUUGAGUACUGUGAACUUAAGUCUUGUGCAAUCUUGAACUUAUAUUUAGGUAGUGUGACUGUGUGAACUUAAAUAUAAGUGCUUAACUGCAUGUGACUCAGUUUGAGGCUGUUUACACUUGGCAUUAACAUGUGUUUUCGUCGAUCGGAUCACAAGUGGACGACGUUAAUGCCAGGUGUAAACGGUGUUCAAAACGUUUUGAGCUCGUCCACUUUCGACCACUUUCAACCACAUCCAGAGGUGGUCGAAACCACUUUCGAUCGGAUCGCUUUGGAGUUGCGGAACGCACAUGUGGUUGAAUGCGUUCGAACAGCCACAAGCGACCGCCUUCUCUCCGCCCAUUUAUCUAAUCUGAGGUAUUAAACACAAGUUUUACGUCUUUUUUGACUUCUGGCGUGAACAUUCGGUGAACAGCGCUAUUUUUAGCCUUUCAUUGAUAAAACUAAGCGGCUGAUCUCCGUAGUUUCGUUUUGAAAGCGUGUGAAAGUUGCGCGAUCCUAUUUCAUCAAUUGCGCUGAAGAUUCAAAGAAAGCUCUUACAUACUCAUGUACAAAACACUGUGCAGCAUGUUUACUUGCUAAACAAGCAGUGCACUCCGACAUAAUAUUAUUUUGCGUCCAUAUAAACUCAUAAUUACUCCCACUCGGGUUUGAUUGACAGCAGAGAGACUCGCCCACCGUCUCACAGACCACCCCCUCAUAGUAUUCAGCACAGAAGCGGUCGAAAGUGGACAAAAGAGACGGAUUUAAAUACCAGGUGUAAACGUAAUGUGUCUCUCUCGUCCACUUGUGAUCCGAUCGAUGAAAACACAUCUUAAUACCAAGUGUAAACAGCCCCUUUGUUUAAGUUCACAGUACUCAAAUCUAUGUGUUUUAAAACUUGAAUGGUUUAAUGCAACCGGUUUUCUUAAAUGUGAGAAAUUACAGUGUUACAGUGAGAAAUGUUUGAAUAAUUCCAAGACAGAGCUCUGUGAUUGAUUCUACACUGCAAAAAAUCACUUUCUAACACUUUUUAUCUUGUUUUCAGUAGAAAAACGAAAUAUUCUUAAAUCAAGAUGUAUUUUCUUGAUGAGCAAAAUUACCUUAGAAAAUAUGUCUAGUUUUUAGACAAAAAUAUACAAUUUAAGAUAAUUUGUGGCUAAACAAAAAAAAAUCUAACAAUGGGGUGAGAAAAUUGUGUUUUAAUUAAGUUUUUAAGAAAAAAGAAAACUUAAGAUUUUUUUCUCACACUAUUGGCAGAUAUUUUUGAUUGUUUUAAGCUCAAAUUCACUUAAUGUGUGUGUGUAUUUUAUUUAUUUAUUUAGUCUAAAACUAGACUUAUUUUCUUGGGUCAUUUUGUUCCUCAAGAAAAAGCAUUUUAAUUUAAAUAGUAUUUUUGUCUUGUUUUCAGUAGAAAUAUUAUGUAAGAAAGUCAUUUUUUGCAGUGUAGGACUGAUUUCUUAAGAGCAAGAUCAAUAUAGUUGUUGUUCAUUUUAUUUAGAUAUUUACUACAUUACAGUGGCAGCUGGUGACUUCUUUUUUUGUGAGCACUCGAUGCGAAGUUUGUCAUAACAUGUGCCCGUCAUUUGUGUGGUUCCCAAUUUCAAAAUAUGUGUUCUGCGUGUCGAGUGCGUGUAUGUGCAUCGUGUGUUUUGACUAAACACGUGAUGCACGUGGUUUACAUGAAGCAACAAACACAUAUUUUAAAAACACAAGCAACACACAUGACACUCCGAACACUUAUUUUGAAUUUGCAACCCUCGGAUGAGCAGUCACGAGCCGCCACUGCUACAUUACAUUGUACUGCUUUGAAUGUAGUUUUCAUUGUUGCUUUUAUUUUGUUUUAUUUUACUCUAAUAUUGCUUUCUCUGUCUGUAUAUUUAUGAGUUUAAAUGGUAUUGUUUAUGUAUGCAGCUUUUAAUAUUUGUGUAUUAUAUUAUUUUGUGAUUGUGACAAUUGUGGAUUGUUCAGUUUUUUAUUAAAUAAACAUUUCAAACUCAA
This is a non-coding RNA of Misgurnus anguillicaudatus (oriental weatherfish), 3615 nucleotides long. NCBI's taxonomy places the organism in Eukaryota, Metazoa, Chordata, Actinopteri, Cypriniformes, Cobitidae. The record is from RefSeq and is a predicted model, not a curated record.